Molecule: ribosomal RNA, 496 nt
Filed under: uncultured bacterium
Lineage: Bacteria
Description: partial 16S ribosomal RNA
Rfam family: Bacterial small subunit ribosomal RNA
Source: RNAcentral
GAUGAACGCUGGCGGCGUGCCUAAUACAUGCAAGUCGAGCGAACAGACGAGGAGCUUGCUCCUCUGACGUUAGCGGCGGACGGGUGAGUAACACGUGGAUAACCUACCUAUAAGACUGGGAUAACUUCGGGAAACCGGAGCUAAUACCGGAUAAUAUAUUGAACCGCAUGGUUCAAUAGUGAAAGACGGUUUUGCUGUCACUUAUAGAUGGAUCCGCGCCGCAUUAGCUAGUUGGUAAGGUAACGGCUUACCAAGGCGACGAUGCGUAGCCGACCUGAGAGGGUGAUCGGCCACACUGGAACUGAGACACGGUCCAGACUCCUACGGGAGGCAGCAGUAGGGAAUCUUCCGCAAUGGGCGAAAGCCUGACGGAGCAACGCCGCGUGAGUGAUGAAGGUCUUCGGAUCGUAAAACGCUGUUAUUAGGGAAGAACAAAUGUGUAAGUAACUAUGCACGUCUUGACGGUACCUAAUCAGAAAGCCACGGCUAACUACGU